AACUAUCUUUUAUAUUUCAUAAUAAUAAUAAAAACACAUUAAAAACUUUUGUAAUUCCUCUUUUUUAUUGUCUUCUUCUCCGUCGAGCAAAAUCUAAAACCCAAAGAGAGCAAAAUAUCUAGAGUCGUCUUCUUGGUAAGUCUCUGUCUUUGUUUCGUCUUCUCCGGCGAAUCUGCAUGAGUUCUUUUCUUUUCCUUUGCCUCUUUGGCUUCUCUUGAGAGACUUUUAGAUUUUCUUUGUCUUAUUCUCCUUGACGCCACCAACUAGUUUGUCUUCUUAGGGCAUCUCCAACCCUACUCUAUUUUAGAGUAAAAAUGCAAAAAUCUUCUCCAACCCCACUCUAUAAUUGACUCAAAAAUAGAGAUUUCUGCAGAUUGACUCUAUAUAUAGAGCAACUCUAUUCUCUACUCUAUUUUUGAGUUCAACUUUUUAUUUAUACUUUAGUCCCUCAAAUUUAAACUUUUUAUUUAAUACAUAUAAUUAUUUUACAAACAACAAUUACAACACAUAAUUUUAUAAACU
RNAcentral lists this small RNA (522 nucleotides) under Arabidopsis thaliana (thale cress). RNAcentral describes it as "ATSL195240". The record is from RNAcentral. Lineage: Eukaryota; Viridiplantae; Streptophyta; Magnoliopsida; Brassicales; Brassicaceae.